RNAcentral lists this ribosomal RNA (243 nucleotides) under uncultured bacterium. RNAcentral describes it as "partial 16S ribosomal RNA". It matches the Rfam family "Bacterial small subunit ribosomal RNA", at positions 529 to 771 of the family's 1533-position model. The record is from RNAcentral.
AGGAUGCGAGCGUUAUCCGGAUUUAUUGGGUUUAAAGGGAGCGCAGACGGGUUUUUAAGUCAGCUGUGAAAGUUCAGGGCUUAACCUUGAAAUUGCAGUUGAUACUGGAGACCUUGAGUGCAGUUGAGGCAGGCGGAAUUCGUGGUGUAGCGGUGAAAUGCUUAGAUAUCACGAAGAACUCCGAUUGCGAAGGCAGCUUGCUGGACCGUAACUGACGCUGAUGCUCGAAAGUGCGGGUAUCAA